GUCAGGAUGGCCGAGCGGUCGAAGGCGCCAGACUCAAGUUCUGGUCUCCGCAUGGAGGCGUGGGUUCGAAUCCCACUCCUGACA
Molecule: transfer RNA, 84 nt
Filed under: Anneissia japonica
Lineage: Eukaryota; Metazoa; Echinodermata; Crinoidea; Comatulida; Comatulidae
Description: tRNA-Leu
Rfam family: tRNA
About the family: Transfer RNA (tRNA) molecules are approximately 80 nucleotides in length. Their secondary structure includes four short double-helical elements and three loops (D, anti-codon, and T loops).
Source: RNAcentral